Molecule: transfer RNA, 60 nt
Filed under: Potamyia horvati
Lineage: Eukaryota; Metazoa; Arthropoda; Insecta; Trichoptera; Hydropsychidae
Description: tRNA-Ser
Source: RNAcentral
GAAAUAUUUUAAUUUAAACUUCUAAUUUAAAAAUAAGUGAAUUACUUCAUUUAUAUUUCA